Molecule: unclassified non-coding RNA, 349 nt
Filed under: soil metagenome
Description: partial contains 5.8S ribosomal RNA, internal transcribed spacer 2, and large subunit ribosomal RNA
Rfam family: 5.8S ribosomal RNA (bases 1-119)
Source: RNAcentral
GAUGAAGAACGCAGCGAAAUGCGAUAGGUAACGCGAAUUGCAGAAUCCGUGAGUCAUCGAAUCUUUGAACGCACAUUGCGCCCUCUGGUAUUCCGGAGGGCAUGCCUGUUCGAGCGUCAUUAUCACCCCUCAAGCCCGGCUUGUUGUUGGAUGCAGCGCUUAUCCCGCUCCUCCCAAAGAUAAUGACGGCGUCUGCGACGACUCCUGUACACUGAGCUUUCGGGCACGUACACGGCUAGAAGUCCAGACCCGGUCGCCGUCCCCCCCGCGGGGACACCCAUUACCACAAGGUUGACCUCGGAUCAGGUAGGAAUACCCGCUGAACUUAAGCAUAUCAAUAAGCGGAGGA